UACACUGCAUUUCGAGCCAAAGGUGGAGUAAGGAACAUGUGGGCAGCAUUAAUUCAUACAAGAGAAUGCUAAAAUACCAAGAGAAAUAUUGAAACGAAUCAAGAUAACAUGAAGACCGAAUAGCGGAAACCUGGGAUUUAAUUUCAAGCUAGCACCAGAAAAAAUGAGUGAGAGGGAAGCACCCUUCACCUCAAAAAGAAAAACAUUUUUAGUUCCGGUGAUAAGAAUGUCUGGUCCGGAAACAGGAGGACGGAUAUCGCCAGAAAUGAUAAGUUAAUGGCCACCUAAAAGAGAAAAGGGCCUACUUUCGAAAUUGAAACGAUUUUAACAUCUCAUCAUACAUCACAGGAAUGGUCCCUGCAGAUUCUAAUUUCCUCAAUGAAGUCACCGCGCAGCUGCCAUUUUACACGGAAGGGGAUCAUGAGCUGAUGACCAUUGAUCAGGCGUUCUGUUAUUAUUACUGUUAUUAAUUCUGCUUAGUUUCGAUUUCUUGGCUGUAAUUAACAUGUAUUGUGUGAUCAUUGAUCUGUAUUCAAGCUAUUGUAUUAAUGGACAAGAAGUAAAAACAAUCUUACCAAAUACUUGGGAGAGAGUCUUAAUGCCCCUAAUCAAUUUGUGAAUGCUACUGGAUAUGCAAGGCUUUGGAAGAGCCAGCAGGAAACCAAAUGUAUUGUUCUUCGUCUUUUCUUUACAAGAGCUUUCCUCCCCUUCUUGUCCUCCUUUAACAAAACAGAGAAAAGAGAGAGAAAAACAGUUAAAUGGUAAUUAAAUAGUCAUGAAAAAGGGUUCCAUACCUGAGAGAAGGGGAGGAGAGAAAUACUUGUUGCAUGUGAUUUGGUUUCGGGUUUUGGUUUCUUGCAGGAUUCACUGGAGGCCACAUCAACACUGGAGUGAGAAGCACAGGCGAUGGAGAAUGGAAGAACUAUAAAUCUUUCCAUAUGAUCCCGCAUAUCCUCCUUACAGGACAAAAUCAAACACAAAAUCUAAAAGGGAAUGCAGGCAUUCAGGAGUAGUGCCGGGAUCGAACAAGAACACGGAAA
Long non-coding RNA from Populus trichocarpa (black cottonwood), 1040 nucleotides. RefSeq lists it as uncharacterized. The transcript is spliced from 2 exons. The record is from RefSeq and is a predicted model, not a curated record. NCBI's taxonomy places the organism in Eukaryota, Viridiplantae, Streptophyta, Magnoliopsida, Malpighiales, Salicaceae.